RNAcentral lists this transfer RNA (78 nucleotides) under Muribaculaceae bacterium. Its description in RNAcentral is "tRNA-OTHER". It matches the Rfam family "tRNA". Rfam says of the family: Transfer RNA (tRNA) molecules are approximately 80 nucleotides in length. Their secondary structure includes four short double-helical elements and three loops (D, anti-codon, and T loops). Lineage: Bacteria; Pseudomonadati; Bacteroidota; Bacteroidia; Bacteroidales; Muribaculaceae. The record is from RNAcentral.
GGCCUGGUGGCGAAAUUGGUUAGACGCGCUUUAUAUUAGGCGGAAAGUACAUUGCAGGUUCAAAUCCUGCCCGGGUCU